This 402-nucleotide unclassified non-coding RNA is filed under the name soil metagenome. RNAcentral describes it as "partial contains 5.8S ribosomal RNA, internal transcribed spacer 2, and large subunit ribosomal RNA". The stretch from base 1 to 121 matches the Rfam family "5.8S ribosomal RNA", at positions 35 to 154 of the family's 154-position model. The record is from RNAcentral.
GAUGAAGAACGUAGCGAAAUGCGAUAAGUAAUGUGAAUUGCAGAAUUCAGUGAAUCAUCGAAUCUUUGAACGCACCUUGCGCCCUUUGGCUAUUCUGAAGGGCAUGCCUGUUUGAGUAUCGUGAACACCUCAACUCUCAUGGUCUGCCAUGAUGAGCUUGGACUUUGGGGGUCUUGCUGGCCUACUGUCAGCUCCUCUCAAAUGAAUCAGCUUACCAGUGUUUGGUGGCACCACAGGUGUGAUAACUAUCUAUGCUUGUGGUUUUCUGCCAGGUAACCUCCAGUGAUGGAGGUUCGCUGGAGCUCACAAAUGUCUCUCCUCAGCGAGGACAGCUUUUUGAACGUUUGAUCUCAAAUCAGGUAGGACUACCCGCUGAACUUAAGCAUAUCAAUAAGCGGAGGA